This is a long non-coding RNA of Triticum dicoccoides, 402 nucleotides long. RefSeq lists it as uncharacterized. The transcript has 3 exons. NCBI's taxonomy places the organism in Eukaryota, Viridiplantae, Streptophyta, Magnoliopsida, Poales, Poaceae. The record is from RefSeq and is a predicted model, not a curated record.
CUUGCAUCAGGAUGGGGUGGUCGCCAACGACGAUGCGCAUACAAAUGGAGGGCUGCAGGAUGACUUCUCAACUUCGCAUGCGCGGCAGCGUCUGCUCCGAUUAGAUCCAGAUGCGGAGGCCACUUGGAUUGUUGAUGAAGAACCUGAUGAAGCACUUGAGGUUAAGAAGGCAGUAGCCAACGAGAGUAGCUUCUCCAUCAGCGCGGGCGGCGACAAUGAAUGGCGUAGGAACACAUGCAAACAUCCACGCGACUAAAACAACAACCAGAUAUUCCGUCCUGUAUUUAAUCCUGGUAGAGGCGAAUUGAAGGCUAGCUACCCCAGAAACCAACUGUCCUGUAUCUCUAAUUACUAGGGUACAAACGGGAUGACCAGUAGCCUGAAUUUCAUUUGGCGGCGACC